CCGUUCUCGCCAUUUGACACGGUGGUUCCAGCAGUGUGUCAGUGUCCCAAGGGUGGGCCCUCUUUGGGCCCUGCCCGAGCCCUUUGCAGGCUUGCCGUGCAUGGCAGUCCACAAGGCGGCACACCCAGUAUUACACGUGCAGGAAAAGGCAAUCCAAAUGCAAACGGCCUUGAAGUCUGCUGCAGGUAACUAACAGACAGUAAUAAUUAGAUUUUACACUAUAUCCUCCUCCUGAGCGUUAGAGAGAGACGGUGUUCACUAAAAAUACCUGAUACUAGACUGUAUGUGUGGAUGAUUGACGGUGCUAGUCCUGAACCAGCACAAUCUGUCCUAAGUAGGACAGUAUAGGGUUAGGGAUCAUACCGAGCAAAACACACUUAGUGAUAUGUAAUGUUACUUAGUGAUAUGUAAUGCUGAUUCGUACUUAAGAAUAUUAUAAAGUGAAGUACUACUCAUUCACGUGGAAGACUCCCCCUCUAAUCGUCAUAGACAGCACACGUUUUUACACUCGAGAACUCAACCGGCCUGCUACUACCCACGCAUAGGAAUGGUGAGGGGAUUGCGGGACACCUUCGUCAUCCCCAGUAGUGCAGGAUUCCCCCCCAAGGAGGAUUCGGGGACCUCAACGACCAUCACCUGUGUUAUUUGGUUAGUCUUAUGGGAGCACCACACCGUCUAUUACAGAGGGAUAGGCCCGGGCCCGGGCUUCCUCAGGUGCAGUGCACCCAGCCUGCCCUGCCAGGGAGUUGGGUUCACAAGGAGAAGAUCCUAAACAAAACAGAACAUACAGUGGCACCCAGGCUGUGCAACGUCCUGGCCAGAGUGAAGCACGCAAUGUCACCGUCUUAUUACAUGAGGUCUGGUCUGGGUUGACACUACUGUAGUUAGCGGUUUAAGGUCCUGGUUUCGAUUCCCGGGGAGACCCCCAAAUUAGUCGGGAACGCGAGAUUAUGGCUAGCUGCUGAGAUGUGGAGUUGAGUUCACAGUUGAUGGACCAGAGUCGCACGCUGGAUUGGUGGUGACUGCCGAACCCUGAAUUCGGUGCCACAGGAUGUAUGUGUUGAACAGGGUUGUAAGCAGGGUGGCGGCAAACACAACUGGUGGUUAGGGGGCCAGUCCUUCCUUUCUGGUCAUGAUACAUGCUCAGUUGUGAAGUUUUACUAAACUACAUAAGCCAAAGGCCAUAUCCUUGACAUCGCAGAUGACAACUUUAAUUGAUGGGGUGGGUAGUUGUUGGUUAGUUGGUUCGUUGACGCCUGACAUCGUUGAUGGCUGCUUCCUGAAAGGCCAUCAUGAGGUUCUCCACUAUAUGAAAAUCAUAUUGCCUCGACCUCACCACCGACAGACUGCACAUCCAAGUAAAAUGCAAUCGCACGUAUGCAUUCGCAUUGCUUACCCGGCGGGAGCCUGCAUGCCCGCGUCAAACGCACCAGCGAGUUAUGAGAACGGGCUAACAAGGUUGGGAGUUGGUUAAGAGAAAGCGAUGUGUAUUAUGUAUCGGCCCGCCACAACCACGAUCCAUAUUUGCCCGCACAGCGCUCACGUGCACUCACCACCCUUGACCGCCUUGAGGAUACAUGGCCCGGCGCUGUUUUGUUCAUUGUUCCAUCGCCGCCGCUGCCACCGCUCCCAAGACCGCCCCCAUCAGAAAUGGCAUGGCGGAGCUGACAUCCUUCGAAACGAGUAUGUUAGAUGCGCAUAGAAAAUGAUUCGAUGGUGAAGCAGAUGAAACCCGAAUAUCGGUGCGGAUCAGCUUCGGGAACCGGAGGAUGCAUUGCAUCUCUGGAAGCCACACGAAAGUGUUUCCUGCGGACCAUUUGCAACAAGUACCGGUCCCAGAAACUUUCUGGGACUUUAAGUGCAAUGCGCGGAAGCUGGGUAAAACAAUCUAGGUAAUAGAGUGUUUCCA
This 1909-nucleotide long non-coding RNA is filed under the name Volvox carteri. RNAcentral's name for it is "long non-coding RNA (VCAR_LNC002332)". Lineage: Eukaryota; Viridiplantae; Chlorophyta; Chlorophyceae; Chlamydomonadales; Volvocaceae. The record is from RNAcentral.